This 836-nucleotide ribosomal RNA is filed under the name Anostostomatidae gen. 2 sp. 1 RCP-2009. Its description in RNAcentral is "SSU rRNA". It matches the Rfam family "Eukaryotic small subunit ribosomal RNA", at positions 482 to 1237 of the family's 1831-position model. The record is from RNAcentral. Lineage: Eukaryota; Metazoa; Arthropoda; Insecta; Orthoptera; Anostostomatidae.
GAUACGGGACUCAUCCGAGGCCCCGUAAUCGGAAUGAGUACACUUUAAAUCCUUUAACGAGUAUCCAUUGGAGGGCAAGUCUGGUGCCAGCAGCCGCGGUAAUUCCAGCUCCAAUAGCGUAUAUUAAAGUUGUUGCGGUUAAAAAGCUCGUAGUUGGACUUGUGUCCCACGCUGUCGGUUCAUCGCCCGUCGGUGUCAACUGACAUGUCUUGUGGGACGUCCUGUCGGAGGUGGCGAGUCGAAGGAAGGCGCGCCCGCGGUUCCCGUGGGUUGUCGCCGACCCCAGGCGAACCCCGAUCAAAUCCCAUCGUGGUGCUCUUUAACGAGUGUCGUGUUGGGCCGUCACGUUUACUUUGAACAAAUUAGAGUGCUUAAAGCAGGCCUGAAGCGCCUGAAUACUGAGUGCAUGGAAUAAUGGAAUAGGACCUCGGUUCUAUUUUGUUGGUUUUCGGAACCCGAGGUAAUGAUUAAUAGGGACAGUCGGGGGCAUUCGUAUUGCGACGUUAGAGGUGAAAUUCUUGGAUCGUCGCAAGACGGACCGAAGCGAAAGCAUUUGCCAAGUAUGUUUUCAUUAAUCAAGAACGAAAGUUAGAGGUUCGAAGGCGAUCAGAUACCGCCCUAGUUCUAACCAUAAACGAUGCCAGCUAGCGAUCCGCCGCAGUUCCUCCGAUGACUCGGCGGGCAGCUCCCGGGAAACCAAAGCUUUUGGGUUCCGGGGGAAGUAUGGUUGCAAAGCUGAAACUUAAAGGAAUUGACGGAAGGGCACCACCAGGAGUGGAGCCUGCGGCUUAAUUUGACUCAACACGGGAAACCUCACCAGGCCCGGACACUGGAAG